Molecule: ribosomal RNA, 440 nt
Filed under: uncultured bacterium
Lineage: Bacteria
Description: partial 16S ribosomal RNA
Rfam family: Bacterial small subunit ribosomal RNA
Source: RNAcentral
CCUACGGGAGGCAGCAGUGGGGAAUAUUGCACAAUGGGGGAAACCCUGAUGCAGCGACGCCGCGUGAGUGAAGAAGGAUUUCGGUAUGUAAAGCUCUAUCAGCAGGGAAGAAAAGGACGGUACAUGAGUAAGAAGCCCCGGCUAACGACGUGCCAGCAGCCGCGGUAAUACGUAGGGGGCAAGCGUUAGCCGGAUUUACUGGGUGUCAAGGGAGCGGAGACGGCAGCACAAGUCUGGAGUGAAAUGCCGGGGCUUCACCCCGGACCGGCUUUUGAAACUGUGCAGCUAGAGUGCAGGAGAGUUAAGUGGAAUUCCUUGUGUAGCGGUGCACUGCGUUGCUUUUAGGAGGACCCCCAGUGGCGAAGGCGGCUUACUGGACUGUACCUGACGUUGCGGCUCGAACGCGUGGGGAGCCAACAGGAUUAGAUACCCCAGUAGUC